GGCGCAGGCUUAACACAUGCNAGUCGAGCGGGGNGAGGUAGCUUGCUACUGAUCUUAGCGGCGGACGGGUGAGUAAUGCUUAGGAAUCUGCCUAUUAGUGGGGGACAACAUUUCGAAAGGAAUGCUAAUACCGCAUACGUCCUACGGGAGAAAGCAGGGGAUCUUCGGACCUUGCGCUAAUAGAUGAGCCUAAGUCGGAUUAGCUAGUUGGUGGGGUAAAGGCCUACCAAGGCGACGAUCUGUAGCGGGUCUGAGAGGAUGAUCCGCCACACUGGGACUGAGACACGGCCCAGACUCCUACGGGAGGCAGCAGUGGGGAAUAUUGGACAAUGGGCGCAAGCCUGAUCCAGCCAUGCCGCGUGUGUGAAGAAGGCCUUAUGGUUGUAAAGCACUUUAAGCGAGGAGGAGGCUACUUUAGUUAAUACCUAGAGAUAGUGGACGUUACUCGCAGAAUAAGCACCGGCUAACUCUGUGCCAGCAGCCGCGGUAAUACAGAGGGUGCAAGCGUUAAUCGGAUUUACUGGGCGUAAAGCGCGCGUAGGCGGCUAAUUAAGUCAAAUGUGAAAUCCCCGAGCUUAACUUGGGAAUUGCAUUNNAUACUGGUUGGCUAGAGUAUGGGAGAGGAUGGUAGAAUUCCAGGUGUAGCGGUGAAAUGCGUAGAGAUCUGGAGGAAUACCGAUGGCGAAGGCAGCCAUCUGGCCUAACACUGACGCUGAGGUGCGAAAGCAUGGGGAGCAAACAGGAUUAGAUACCCUGGUAGUCCAUGCCGUAAACGAUGUCUACUAGCCGUUGGGGCCUUUGAGGCUUUAGUGGCGCACGUAACGCGAUAAGUAGACCGCCUGGGGAGUACGG
RNAcentral lists this ribosomal RNA (852 nucleotides) under uncultured bacterium. RNAcentral's name for it is "bacterial SSU rRNA". It matches the Rfam family "Bacterial small subunit ribosomal RNA", at positions 38 to 885 of the family's 1533-position model. The record is from RNAcentral.